GUGGGGAAUAUUGGGCAAUGGGCGAAAGCCUGACCCAGCAACGCCGCGUGAAGGAAGAAGGUCUUCGGAUCGUAAACUUCUAUCCUUGGUGAAGAUAAUGACGGUAGCCGAGAAGGAAGCCCCGGCUAACUACGUGCCAGCAGCCGCGGUAAUACGUAGGGGGCAAGCGUUGUCCGGAAUGAUUGGGCGUAAAGGGCGCGUAGGCGGCCUGGUAAGUCUGGAGUGAAUGUCCUGCUUUUAAGGUGGGAAUUGCUUUGGAUACUGUCGGGCUUGAGUGCAGGAGAGGUAAGUGGAAUUCCCGGUGUAGCGGUGAAAUGCGUAGAGAUCGGGAGGAACACCAGUGGCGAAGGCGACUUACUGGACUGUAACUGACGCUGAGGCGCGAAAGUGUGGGGAGCAAACAGGAUUAGAUACCCCUGUAGUCC
This 425-nucleotide ribosomal RNA is filed under the name uncultured bacterium. RNAcentral describes it as "partial 16S ribosomal RNA". It matches the Rfam family "Bacterial small subunit ribosomal RNA", at positions 354 to 796 of the family's 1533-position model. The record is from RNAcentral.